CCCAGUCGUAGCUCAGUUGGUGAGCAUUGCACUAGCAAGCCAAAGGACGAGGGUUCGAUUCCCACCAUUGUGA
Molecule: non-coding RNA, 73 nt
Organism: Paramuricea clavata
Lineage: Eukaryota; Metazoa; Cnidaria; Anthozoa; Malacalcyonacea; Plexauridae
Source: the annotation of a GenBank genome assembly